AAUAGAAUUGAACUUUCUCUUAGGAAUAAUGCUUUCAAUUAAAUAACGCCAAAAAUAAGGAUGAAUGAAGACAAUGGAAUGAGAUUCCCCUAGAAGCAGAUGGUGAAAAGCCUUCCUUUUACUUAGAUAUCAGUCGUCUCUUCUGACAUGGGCUUACAAAAUGUUUAGCCUAGAUUGAAAACGAGGAUUUUUAUCAAACACAUAGGACAGUUUCAAUGGCUAAGUCCUACUCUGUUCUCCAAAACCAAUCCUUGCCUCAAGCUAAGGAUCCUAUAUGUCACAUUUGGAGUCUGGGGCCUUCUUGGGUGGUGGCCUUGAGGAAAAGGCAAAUUAUCCUCCCUAAUGGAUGUAUCCUAUGCUCGCAUGAUGAGGAAACGGUAGACCAUCUAUUCAUUCACUGGGAGCUCACUCGGGUAAAUUUUGGAGAUUCUUUACUCUGGAAAAAAUACUGGGUGAUGCCCCAAAAGGUUGGGGAUCUAUUAUCCCUGUGGCACUUUGCCCGGUCUGGAAUGCCAGGGUUGCAUGAAUCCUCAUGCUUACUGUUGUUUUAUGGGUAACCUCACCGGAAUUCAACAACAAAACUUCUUAUGACAACGGCCGCAUCCAUAUCAGGUCUUCCAUCCACUCCAAGCUACUAAUGUAUUUAUGGGGACUCAGAUGGAAAUCUUUGAAGGUAGCUUGGGGAAUCUUUCUUCAUUGUAUUAGCUGAAUGAUUCCUCUUCAUCCUUUCUGCCUGUAUUUUCCCAUGUUUUGUAUUUAGGCCUGUUUCCAUGUUUUUUACUGAUCUUUCCAGCACCAAGAAAUAACCUGUGUAAUCCCUUUUGGCCAUGAUUGGGUCUGAGAGCUUUGGAGCAAAUAACCGUAGCCUCUCUUAAGUCGCAAGGUCAAUGCCUCAGCUGUAGUCAUGUCUCCCUUUCACCCACGGGCCCAGAGGACGAGAAAGCAAUUGAACCAUUUUCAUCUGUCCACUCCAUGACGCUUGCUUGAUCCCAUGUUGCUAAGAGAAGAUCAACCGAAGUUAACUUUUCAGCACCUGAAAGUGGGAUGGAGACGUUUUUCAGUUUGGUGGGUUAAAUUGUCCACUAGAGCUAAAUUGGAAAUAAGGUCCAAGCCAUCGGAAGCAUCUUCAAUAGGAUCCUAUCCUGCUUCAUCGAACCACUGCCCUGACUCAUAAUAGUCUCACCAUGCUUGCAAUGGAACACACAGGAGAUGCCAAACAAACUCAAGAAAUAGCCACAAAAGCUUCAGAUCUGCUAAUGAAUGUACGAGUGGGGCACCAGUUCCACUCCCUUGCAUCAAAUACAAAUGGAAUUUUUUAUUUGGGUGGGGAUGAAUAGUGAAUAUUCAUCUGCCACCCUCUCCAAAAGAAAGCCUCCAAUUUGGGAGGGGUCAAAGUAGACAGCCAAAUCACGAGGAGAGCCACCAUCUAUAGAAAUGGCAAGGAGCUUUGAGCACCAUGUCAAUUUGCAAAUAGGCUCAUCCUUCUCAUGGCUGCAAUGAAGACACUUUCAAGCAGCAACAAGAAAAUGAAAUGUCCACUUCGUCAUCCUUGAGAUUUCUGCUAAAAGUAAUAGCAUAUGUAAUAUCUUUUCAAUAAUGACCAUUCUAAGUCAACCCAUCAUAGAGCCUCAGGGUUCUGGAAAGUGACGUUUGGAUUGGAACAUUAUUUGGGAGGGAGACAUACUUUUAAUCCAGGGAAUGGUUCUCGGAGGAUUAGUGGAGCAGUGAUAGGCCCAUCUCUAGUCUUUACCCCCAACUGUAUAGGGGGUCUUGGAAAGGAGGAAGAAUUUCUCAUUGUUUCUCCCAGGUGGCUAACCAAGUAGGUCUGUACUCCUUAUUUCUGCAGAUUUUUUUUUUUUUUUGUCAGUGACUAUUUUUUGGUCAAUGAGAUGAAAGAGUUUUUAGUCUUCUGGUCUUGAUGGAAGGACGAGGGCCAUUGUUUGUGGAGAGGGACGUGGAGCUGAAAGUUGGUGAGAUCAGAGUGCUUUUCCCUCAAAUCAUUUUAUUUUGUUAUCACUGCUGGCUCUAAACCUAGGGAGUUGGAUCUGAUCGGACACAUUUGAAAAUAUUUGGGCCUGUCUCGUGUGAGCAAUCUUGAAUAGCUUGUUGGGAAGAACAAGGUAAUAGCGAUGGAUUUGUUAAGUAAAAGAGAAGGUAAUGAUGAUAGACCACCACCGAAGGAGCAGACAGAUGAUUAUUCCAAAUGUGUGCAUUCUAUGCCUACAAGAUAUAGAAUUGGUGGGCCAUUUAUUCUUGCAAUGCAGUUUCUCAUCAUCCAUUUGUUGGAAAUUCCUCGGUCUCUUCAAAAUCAUUUCGGUGAUGCCUCGUUUGCUUGCUGACUUUUUCAAGCUAUAGCAUGAAAGCUUUAGAGGCCAAGAGAGUUCUGUGGACAUCACCUUUGCUUGUUGGGCUUUUGAUUUGGCUUGAAUGUAAUAAUAAGAUGACUCUUAACAUGUUGGGCUCCUCAAUUUUUUUUUGAAGGCAUAUUGAAAAGUGA
Long non-coding RNA from Magnolia sinica, 2497 nucleotides. RefSeq lists it as uncharacterized. Lineage: Eukaryota; Viridiplantae; Streptophyta; Magnoliopsida; Magnoliales; Magnoliaceae. The transcript has 2 exons. The record is from RefSeq and is a predicted model, not a curated record.